GGUGUUGUGGCUCAGUGGUAGAGCGCUUGCCUCUCACAUAGGAGGCACCAGGUUCAAACCUCAGCACCA
Molecule: transfer RNA, 69 nt
Filed under: Marmota monax (woodchuck)
Lineage: Eukaryota; Metazoa; Chordata; Mammalia; Rodentia; Sciuridae
Rfam family: tRNA
About the family: Transfer RNA (tRNA) molecules are approximately 80 nucleotides in length. Their secondary structure includes four short double-helical elements and three loops (D, anti-codon, and T loops).
Source: Rfam by way of RNAcentral